Molecule: ribosomal RNA, 433 nt
Filed under: uncultured bacterium
Lineage: Bacteria
Description: partial 16S ribosomal RNA
Rfam family: Bacterial small subunit ribosomal RNA
Source: RNAcentral
AACGAACGCUGGCGGCAGGCUUAACACAUGCAAGUCGAACGGAUCCUUCGGGAUUAGUGGCAGACGGGUGAGUAACGCGUGGGAACGUACCCUUUGCUACGGAAUAACUCAGGGAAACUUGAGCUAAUACCGUAUGUGCCCUACGGGGGAAAGAUUUAUCGGCAAAGGAUCGGCCCGCGUUGGAUUAGCUAGUUGGUGGGGUAAUGGCCUACCAAGGCGACGAUCCAUAGCUGGUCUGAGAGGAUGAUCAGCCACACUGGGACUGAGACACGGCUCAGACUCCUACGGGAGGCAGCAGUGGGGAAUAUUGGACAAUGGGCGCAAGCCUGAUCCAGCCAUGCCGCGUGAGUGAUGAAGGUCUUAGGAUUGUAAAGCUCUUUCACCGGUGAAGAUAAUGACGGUAGCCGGAGAAGAAGCCCCGGCUAACUUCGUG